CCCUUAGAUGUCCUGGGCCGCACGCGCGCUACACUGAACGGAUCAGCGCGUUUUCCCUUCCCGAGAGGGACGGGUAACCUGCUGAACCCCGUUCGUGGUAGGGAUCGGGGCUUGCAAUUAUUCCCCGUGAACCAGGAAUGCCCAGUAAGUGCAAGUCAUAAGCUUGCGUUGAUUACGUCCCUGCCCUUUGUACACACCGCCCGUCGCUACUACCGAUUGAACGUUUUAGUGAGGUACUCGGACUGAGCCUCGGAAGAUUCACGUCUUUUGUGCUGCUCGGGAAGAUUCCCAAACUUGAGCGUUUAGAGGAAGUAAAAGUCGUAACA
Molecule: ribosomal RNA, 326 nt
Filed under: uncultured eukaryote
Lineage: Eukaryota
Description: partial 18S ribosomal RNA
Rfam family: Eukaryotic small subunit ribosomal RNA
Source: RNAcentral